UGGCAUAAUGGUUAAGCAUUUGGCUGCUAACCAAAAGGUUGGUGGUUCGAACCCACC
Loxodonta africana (African savanna elephant) is the source of this 57-nucleotide transfer RNA. It matches the Rfam family "tRNA", at positions 8 to 63 of the family's 71-position model. Rfam says of the family: Transfer RNA (tRNA) molecules are approximately 80 nucleotides in length. Their secondary structure includes four short double-helical elements and three loops (D, anti-codon, and T loops). Lineage: Eukaryota; Metazoa; Chordata; Mammalia; Proboscidea; Elephantidae. The record is from Rfam.